GGUGGAAAGUUGUACCGCUGAUG
This 23-nucleotide microRNA is filed under the name Tribolium castaneum (red flour beetle). RNAcentral's name for it is "Tca-Mir-965_5p* (star (passenger))". Lineage: Eukaryota; Metazoa; Arthropoda; Insecta; Coleoptera; Tenebrionidae. The record is from RNAcentral.